GGCUCUUUUAAGCCAAAACAUACACCCGGUCGAUAUUUUACUGCUGAUGGCUUCCUCUGAAGGCGACUUGCCAAAAAUCGAAGAGCUACUGAGAGCUGGAGCAGAUUACACAGUCAAAGAUGCAGACGGACGUACUGCCCUUGACAGGGCUGCUAACGAUGAAGUCAAAGACUUCAUCGUUAACUAUAAAGCCCAGAAGGCAUAAACGUAUCAAGUUUUGUUAUUAACCAUUAGUGUAAGUUUCAUCUUCUCAUUACCGUCAUAUUUUUUUAGAUCAACGCCAUUUUACCAUAUGUGAGCUCUAUUAUGUAUCUGUUUUGAGAGCUUGUAUGUUACGGGCGGACAUUUUACCAGAGGUUUCUAAUCUAUCCUCGUGUGAUCUAUAACGUUC
This 391-nucleotide unclassified non-coding RNA is filed under the name Hevea brasiliensis (rubber tree). Lineage: Eukaryota; Viridiplantae; Streptophyta; Magnoliopsida; Malpighiales; Euphorbiaceae. The record is from RNAcentral.